GAGUUUGAUCUUGGCUCAGAACGAACGCUGAUGGCGUGCCUCAUACAUGCAAGUCGAGCGCCCCGCAAGGGGAGCGGCGAACGGGUGAGUAACGCGUGAACAAUCUGCCUCAAAGUGGGGGAUAACCAUUCCAACGGAUGGCUAAUACCGCAUAGGGUUUGGGGGUCGCAUGGCCCCUUCACGAAAGCAGUGAUGCGCUUUGAGAUGAGUUCGCGUCCCAUUAGCUAGUUGGCGGGGUAACGGCCCACCAAGGCAACGAUGGGUAGCCGGCCUGAGAGGGUGUCCGGCCACAUUGGGACUGAGAUACGGCCCAGACUCCUACGGGAGGCAGCAGUAGGGAAUUUUGCGCAAUGGGGGAAACCCUGACGCAGCAACGCCAUGUGUGGGAUGAAGCAUUUCGGUGUGUAAACCACUGUCGGCAGGGAAUAAAGCCCGCGUUUACGCGGGGGUGAAUGUACCUGCAGAGGAAGCCCCGGCUAACUUCGUGCCAGCCGCCGCAGU
RNAcentral lists this ribosomal RNA (501 nucleotides) under uncultured Fibrobacter sp. RNAcentral describes it as "bacterial SSU rRNA". It matches the Rfam family "Bacterial small subunit ribosomal RNA", at positions 9 to 521 of the family's 1533-position model. The record is from RNAcentral. Lineage: Bacteria; Pseudomonadati; Fibrobacterota; Fibrobacteria; Fibrobacterales; Fibrobacteraceae.